ACGAACGCUGGCGGCGUGCUUAACACAUGCAAGUCGAACGGAAAGGCCCUGCUUGCAGGGUCCUCGAGUGGCGAACGGGUGAGUAACACGUGGGUGAUCUGCCCUGCACUUCGGGAUAAGCCUGGGAAACUGGGUCUAAUACCGGAUAGGAGCCAUUUUUAGUGUGAUGGUUGGAAAGUUUUUUUCGGUGUAGGAUGAGCUCGCGGCCUAUCAGCUUGUUGGUGGGGUAAUGGCCUACCAAGGCGGCGACGGGUAGCCGGCCUGGGAGGGUGGACGGCCACCUUGGGACUGGGGUACGGCCCAGGCUCCUACGGGAGGCAGCAGUGGGGAAUGUUGCUCAAUGGGCGCAAGCCUGAUGCGGCGACGCCGCGUGGGGGAUGGCGACCUUCGGGUUGUAGACUCCUUUCGCUAGGGACGAAGCUUUUUGUGACGGUACCUAGAUAAGAAGCACCGGCUAACUACGUG
This 465-nucleotide ribosomal RNA is filed under the name uncultured bacterium. Its description in RNAcentral is "partial 16S ribosomal RNA". It matches the Rfam family "Bacterial small subunit ribosomal RNA", at positions 29 to 507 of the family's 1533-position model. The record is from RNAcentral.